Molecule: unclassified non-coding RNA, 317 nt
Filed under: plant metagenome
Description: partial contains 5.8S ribosomal RNA, internal transcribed spacer 2, and large subunit ribosomal RNA
Rfam family: 5.8S ribosomal RNA (bases 1-105)
Source: RNAcentral
AAAAUGCGAUAAGUAAUGUGAAUUGCAGAAUUCAGUGAAUCAUCGAAUCUUUGAACGCACAUUGCGCCCGCCAGUAUUCUGGCGGGCAUGCCUGUCUGAGCGUCAUUUCAACCCUCGGGACCCCGUUCGCGGGACCCGGCGUUGGGGAUCAGCCCUCUCCGGGGGGCUGGCCCCGAAAUCUAGUGGCGGUCCGCCAGCGAUCUCCUCUGCGCAGUAGUUGAUACCUCGCAGCUGGAUAGCGGUCGGGCCACGCCGUAAAACCCCCAACUUCUCAAGGUUGACCUCAGAUCAGGUAGGAAUACCCGCUGAACUUAAGC